UAUCUAUAAUCUAUAAUUAUUCUUUGUAUAAUGAAUAUAAGGAUAUAUAUAUAUAUAUAUGUCUAUGUAUAUGUAUAUUAUUAUGAAUAUAAAUGAGUAAUUUUAAGUUGUUGAGAGGAGUAUGAAAGUACUUACUUUGGAUAUUUAAUCUCAGAAUAUCUAAUAAAAAGAAAUAAGUUGUCAGACUUAUUGCGAUAAGGUGA
Molecule: ribosomal RNA, 203 nt
Filed under: Pneumocystis sp. L5
Lineage: Eukaryota; Fungi; Ascomycota; Pneumocystomycetes; Pneumocystales; Pneumocystaceae
Description: partial large subunit ribosomal RNA
Source: RNAcentral